AUUGAACGCUGGCGGCAUGCUUUACACAUGCAAGUCGAACGGUAACAGGCCUUCGGGUGCUGACGAGUGGCGAACGGGUGAGUAAUGCAUCGGAACGUGCCCAAUCGUGGGGGAUAACGUAGCGAAAGUUACGCUAAUACCGCAUAAGCCCUGAGGGGGAAAGUGGGGGACCGCAAGGCCUCACGCGAAUGGAGCGGCCGAUGUCAGAUUAGCUAGUUGGUGGGGUAAAGGCCCACCAAGGCGACGAUCUGUAGCGGGUCUGAGAGGAUGAUCCGCCACACUGGGACUGAGACACGGCCCAGACUCCUACGGGAGGCAGCAGUGGGGAAUUUUGGACAAUGGGCGCAAGCCUGAUCCAGCCAUGCCGCGUGCGGGACGAAGGCCUCGGUUGUAACCGACUUC
RNAcentral lists this ribosomal RNA (402 nucleotides) under uncultured bacterium. Its description in RNAcentral is "bacterial SSU rRNA". It matches the Rfam family "Bacterial small subunit ribosomal RNA", at positions 29 to 436 of the family's 1533-position model. The record is from RNAcentral.